Molecule: long non-coding RNA, 979 nt
Filed under: Papio anubis (olive baboon)
Lineage: Eukaryota; Metazoa; Chordata; Mammalia; Primates; Cercopithecidae
Description: lncRNA (ENSPANG00000042014.1)
Source: RNAcentral
GCAACUCUGAAGGACUCUUCUAAUAAUACAAACCAAUGUUACCCACUUUGUUAACUUCCCAUGUUUCAUUGGUUGUUUUCUAGUAGUCUUUCUUCUGUUUUCCAAGAAGAGAAGUAAAAACAUACUUUUUACCUGUUGAUAUGCUUCUCACCAUAUUUAAGAAUAUUUUCAGGACUUUAUAGUGUGACUUCUGUAUGUGGUGUUUUUAGGAUCCUUAGCUAUCAAUUUCUAAUGGCCUGCCCAGAGGACUUAAUAUUCUGACACAAAAUCUCCGCUGUCCGUAUUAAGAAGUUCUCUUCCUGGUCGUUCUUUUAAAGUUAUUUUUUCAGUAGUGGAGACUGGUUUCCCAUUGGCUUGCUAGCACCUCAGUUUGCUAUAUUAUAAGAAUAGCAUACUCAACUUUUAGAAUAGAACUAUUAUGUGUGUAUACAUAUUAUGAUAUACACAAUUAGAAUAUAUAAUUAUGACAUAUAACUCUAAGUUAUAUAAUUUGAUUUUACUUUAAAAUAAAAUAGCUGCCGGAUAUGGAUUGGCUGUGUCCCACCAAAAUCUCAUCUUGUAAAGCUCGUAAUUUCCACAUGUUGUGGGAAGGACCCAAUGGUAGGUAAUUGAAUCAUGGGAGCAGGUCUUUCUCAUACUGUUCUCGUGAUAGUGAAUAAGUUUCAUGAGAUCUGAUGGUAUUAUAAGGGAGUUCCCCUGCACAAGCUCUCUCUCUUUGCCUGCUGCCCUUCCUGUAAACCGUGACUUGCUCCUCCUUGCCUCCCACCGUGAUUGUGAGGCCUCCCCAGCCAUGUGGAACUGUCCAGAAAAUGGAGCAAUAAUGUCUCAAAAGAGAAAUUGUUUUCAGCUGGAGCUACGGCUUGGAAAACCAGAUGGUUUUCAGCAAAAACUGAAAACUCAACAAGUCAACUGUUCGGGCCCUUUCCUGCUUCUCACCAUCUGGCCACCUGUUGUGGAGCUCAUCUCAUUUUGGGAAUGA